This 229-nucleotide ribosomal RNA is filed under the name uncultured bacterium. RNAcentral describes it as "partial 16S ribosomal RNA". It matches the Rfam family "Bacterial small subunit ribosomal RNA", at positions 568 to 796 of the family's 1533-position model. The record is from RNAcentral.
UCCGUAGGUGGACGGUUAAGUCAGAGGUGAAAUCCUGCAGCUCAACUGUAGAAUUGCCUUUGAUACUGGUCGUCUUGAGUCGUUGUGAAGUAGUUAGAAUACGUAGUGUAGCGGUGAAAUGCAUAGAUAUUACAUAGAAUACCGAUUGCGAAGGCAGAUUACUAACAACGUACUGACACUGAUGGACGAAAGCGUGGGGAGCGAACAGGAUUAGAUACCCUGGUAGUCC